This 77-nucleotide transfer RNA is filed under the name Acinetobacter baumannii ATCC 17978. RNAcentral's name for it is "tRNA-Asp". It matches the Rfam family "tRNA". From Rfam's summary of the family: Transfer RNA (tRNA) molecules are approximately 80 nucleotides in length. Their secondary structure includes four short double-helical elements and three loops (D, anti-codon, and T loops). The record is from RNAcentral. Lineage: Bacteria; Pseudomonadati; Pseudomonadota; Gammaproteobacteria; Moraxellales; Moraxellaceae.
UGCAGCGGUAGUUCAGUUGGUUAGAAUACCGGCCUGUCACGCCGGGGGUCGCGGGUUCGAGCCCCGUCCGCUGCGCC